Molecule: ribosomal RNA, 279 nt
Filed under: uncultured bacterium
Lineage: Bacteria
Description: partial 16S ribosomal RNA
Rfam family: Bacterial small subunit ribosomal RNA
Source: RNAcentral
UGCCAGCAGCCGCGGUAAGACGGAGGGUGCUAGCGUUGUUCGGAAUCACUGGGCGUAAAGGGCGCGUAGGCGGCCAUGUAAGUCGGGCGUGAAAGCCCGGGGCUCAACCCCGGAAUUGCGUUCGAAACUGCACGGCUUGAGGACGGAAGAGGAGAGUGGAAUACCCAGUGUAGAGGUGAAAUUCGUAGAUAUUGGGUGGAACACCAGUGGCGAAGGCGGCUCUCUGGUCCGGACCUGACGCUGAGGCGCGAAAGCGUGGGGAGCAAACAGGAUUAGAUA